This 143-nucleotide non-coding RNA is filed under the name Fragilariopsis kerguelensis. Lineage: Eukaryota; Bacillariophyta; Bacillariophyceae; Bacillariales; Bacillariaceae. The record is from RNAcentral.
UAGAAAGCAAGCAAGAAAGAAAGAAAGAAAGCGGUUCAUAAUAAUAUGUGCCAUAGGUUUCCAAACUACUGUACUCUCACUUCUUUUCUUUGUUUUCUGUAGUCAUCUUCUACUAGUACUACUAAUUAAUUUCCCUAUGAAAA